UACGUAGGUGGCAAGCGUUGUCCGGAUUUACUGGGCGUAAAGGAUGCGUAGGCGGACAUUUAAGUCAGAUGUGAAAAUACCCCGAGCUUAACUUGGGUGCUGCAUUUUGAAACUGGGUGUCUAGAGUGCAGGAGAGGUAAGUGGAAUUCCUAGUGUAGCGGUGAAAUGCGUAGAGAUUAGGAAGAACACCAGUGGCGAAGGCGACUUACUGGACUGUAACUGACGCUGAGGCAUGAAAGCGUGGGGAGCAAACAGG
RNAcentral lists this ribosomal RNA (256 nucleotides) under uncultured bacterium. RNAcentral's name for it is "partial 16S ribosomal RNA". It matches the Rfam family "Bacterial small subunit ribosomal RNA", at positions 524 to 776 of the family's 1533-position model. The record is from RNAcentral.